CCGAAAAACCUUACCUACCCUUGACAUGUCUGGAAGGCCGAAGAGAUUUUGGCUGUGCUCGCAAGAGAACCGGAACACAGGUGCUGCAUGGCUGUCGUCAGCUCGUGUCGUGAGAUGUUGGGUUAAGUCCCGCAACGAGCGCAACCCUUGUCAUUAGUUGCUACGAAAGGGCACUCUAAUGAGACUGCCGGUGACAAACCGGAGGAAGGUGGGGAUGACGUCAAGUCCUCAUGGCCCUUAUGGGUAGGGCUUCACACGUCAUACAAUGGUCGGGACAGAGGGUCGCCAACCCGCAGGGGGAGCCAAUCCCAGAAACCCGAUCGUAGUCCGGAUCGCAGUCUGCAACUCGACUGCGUGAAGUCGGAAUCGCUAGUAAUCGCGGAUCAGCAUGUCGCGGUGAAUACGUUCCCGGGUCUUGUACACACCGCCCGUCACACCAUGGGAGUGGGUUUUACCAGAAGUAGUUAGCCUAACCGCAAGGAGGGCGAUUACCACGGUAGGAUUCAUGACUGGGGUGAAGUCGUAACAAGGUAAGCGUAGUGCU
RNAcentral lists this ribosomal RNA (544 nucleotides) under uncultured bacterium. RNAcentral's name for it is "bacterial SSU rRNA". It matches the Rfam family "Bacterial small subunit ribosomal RNA", at positions 961 to 1509 of the family's 1533-position model. The record is from RNAcentral.